This 328-nucleotide unclassified non-coding RNA is filed under the name soil metagenome. Its description in RNAcentral is "partial contains 5.8S ribosomal RNA, internal transcribed spacer 2, and large subunit ribosomal RNA". The stretch from base 1 to 120 matches the Rfam family "5.8S ribosomal RNA", at positions 35 to 154 of the family's 154-position model. The record is from RNAcentral.
GAUGAAGAACGUAGCGAAAUGCGAUAAGUAAUGUGAAUUGCAGAAUUCAGUGAAUCAUCGAAUCUUUGAACGCACAUUGCGCCCCUUGGUAUUCCGAGGGGCAUGCCUGUUCGAGCGUCAUUAUAACCCCUCAAGCUCAGCUUGGUGUUGGGGCCUGCCGCACGGGCAGCCCUUAAAAUCAGUGGCGGUGCCAUCUGGCUCUAAGCGUAGUAAUUCUUCUCGCUAUAGAGUCCCGGUGGAUGCUUGCCAUUAACCCCCAAUAUUCUAUGGUUGACCUCGGAUCAGGUAGGGAUACCCGCUGAACUUAAGCAUAUCAAUAAGCGGAGGA